This 598-nucleotide ribosomal RNA is filed under the name Rhodococcus sp. HPC 926. RNAcentral's name for it is "bacterial SSU rRNA". It matches the Rfam family "Bacterial small subunit ribosomal RNA", at positions 49 to 657 of the family's 1533-position model. The record is from RNAcentral. Lineage: Bacteria; Bacillati; Actinomycetota; Actinomycetes; Mycobacteriales; Nocardiaceae.
AAAUACACGGUAUCCGUAGAUAUGAAGUCGGUACCAAGGGAGCCAGAAGGCGGAAUCGAUAACCGGAGGAAGGAUCAGGAACGCCGGAAUGAUCGGCCCUGCACUUUGGGUUACCCCUAGGAAACUGGGUCUAAUACCGGAUAGGACCUCGGGAUGCAUGUUCCGGGGUGGAAAGGUUUUCCGGUGCAGGAUGGGCCCGCGGCCUAUCAGCUUGUUGGUGGGGUAACGGCCCACCAAGGCGACGACGGGUAGCCGGCCUGAGAGGGCGACCGGCCACACUGGGACUGAGACACGGCCCAGACUCCUACGGGAGGCAGCAGUGGGGAAUAUUGCACAAUGGGCGCAAGCCUGAUGCAGCGACGCCGCGUGAGGGAUGACGGCCUUCGGGUUGUAAACCUCUUUCAGUACCGACAAGCGCAAGUGACGGUAGGUACAGAAGAAGCACCGGCCAACUACUGCCCCCGCGGAAAUACGUAGGGUGCGAGCGUUGUCCGGAAUUACUGGGCGUAAAGAGCUCGUAGGCGGUUUGUCCGCUCUGUGAAAACCCGCACUCAACUGCGGGCUUGCGGGCAUACGGGAAGAUUGAUACUGCCGGGGA